AUUGAACGCUGGCGGCAUGCUUUACACAUGCAAGUCGAGCGGCAGCGCGGGGGCAACCCUGGCGGCGAGCGGCGAACGGGUGAGUAAUGCAUCGGAACGUACCCUGGAGUGGGGGAUAACGCCGCGAAAGCGGCGCUAAUACCGCAUAUGCUCUGAGGAGGAAAGUGGGGGGACCGCAAGGCCUCACGCUCUGGGAGCGGCCGAUGUCCGAUUAGCUAGUUGGUGAGGUAAAGGCUUACCAAGGCGACGAUCGGUAGCUGGUCUGAGAGGAUGAUCAGCCACACUGGGACUGAGACACGGCCCAGACUCCUACGGGAGGCAGCAGUGGGGAAUUUUGGACAAUGGGGGCAACCCUGAUCCAGCCAUGCCGCGUGAGUGAAGAAGGCCU
RNAcentral lists this ribosomal RNA (388 nucleotides) under uncultured bacterium. RNAcentral describes it as "bacterial SSU rRNA". It matches the Rfam family "Bacterial small subunit ribosomal RNA", at positions 29 to 417 of the family's 1533-position model. The record is from RNAcentral.